This 29-nucleotide small RNA is filed under the name Bombyx mori (domestic silkworm). RNAcentral describes it as "ovarian small RNA-9458". Lineage: Eukaryota; Metazoa; Arthropoda; Insecta; Lepidoptera; Bombycidae. The record is from RNAcentral.
UUAUGCAGUAAAAUGCACUAAUUGAACGU